AAAGUGAGAGAUGGCAUACAUAGGAGAGCCUAGAGAGUUGGGCUAGUAGAUUAGGAUGGAUUGGGAGAAGAGGAGAGUGGAUUUCGAUCAAAAACAGAUGGGAGGAGCAAAGAGAGAGUUUUGGAAACAGAUAGAAACUUAGUGGGUGUGAGAGGGAAACUUAGUUUGGUCUUGUCUCUGUGUAAGGUUCCGAGGAGGUCGUUGGUGAUCCACAAGAGUAGGCAACGGAGCUAGAGCUCGGGUUUGCGCUGCGCAAUUCGAGGUGUUUUCUCGAAGUGUUUUGGAAAUCUUAUAAUGCAAAUUAGAACCUUCUUGCUUUGUUUGUAAAUAGAGAUUGAAUAAAGAAUAGACGUUAUGAGGAGUAACGCUAUUCUUGUUUUGGUUUGUUUGCUGUUUGUUUGUAAAUACUUUAAACCUGUGUGCUUUUAGCACCCUUUUUA
RNA transcript from Fragaria vesca subsp. vesca, 440 nucleotides. RefSeq lists it as uncharacterized. The record is from RefSeq and is a predicted model, not a curated record. Lineage: Eukaryota; Viridiplantae; Streptophyta; Magnoliopsida; Rosales; Rosaceae. The transcript is spliced from 3 exons.